ACUGCUCAGUAACACGUGGACAACCUGCCCUUAGGUUGGGUAUAAACCCGGGAAACUGGGUAUAAUACCCGAUAGGUCUCGAUUGCUGGAAUGCAUCGAGAUUUAAAGCUCCGGCGCCUAAGGAUGGGUCUGCGGCCUAUCAGGUAGUAGUGGGUGUAGCGUACCUACUAGCCUACGACGGGUACGGGUUGUGUGAGCAAGAGCCCGGAGAUGGAUUCUGAGACACGAAUCCAGGCCCUACGGGGUGCAGCAGGCGCGAAAACUUUACAAUGCUGGCAACAGCGAUAAGGGAACCUCGAGUGCCAGGUUACAAAUCUGGCUGUCGAGAUGCCUAAAAAGCAUUUCAUAGCAAGGGCCGGGCAAGACCGGUGCCAGCCGCCGCGGUAACACCGGCGGCUCGAGUGGUAACCGUUAUUAUUGGGUCUAAAGGGUCUGUAGCCGGCCGGAUAAGUCUCUUGAGAAAUCUGGCAGCUUAACUGUCAGGCUUUCAGGAGAUACUGUCUGGCUCGAGGCCGGGAGAGGUGAGAGGUACUUCAGGGGUAGGGGUGAAAUCUUGUAAUCCUUGAAGGACCACCAGUGGCGAAGGCGUCUCACCAGAACGGACCUGACGGCAAGGGACGAAAGCUAGGGGCACGAACCGGAUUAGAUACCCGGGUAGUCCUAGCCGUAAACGAUACUCGCUAGGUGUCGGCCACGGUGCGACCGUUGUCGGUGCCGUAGGGAAGCCGUGAAGCGAGCCACCUGGGAAGUACGGCCGCAAGGCUGAAACUUAAAGGAAUUGGCGGGGGAGCACCACAACGGGUGGAGCUUGCGGUUUAAUUGGAUUCAACGCCGGAAAUCUUACCGGGACCGACAGCAAUAUGAAGGCCAGGCUGAAGACUUUGCCGGAUUAGCUGAGAGGUGGUGCAUGGCCGUCGUCAGUUCGUACUGUGAAGCAUCCUGUUAAGUCAGGCAACGAGCGAGACCCGCACC
This 972-nucleotide ribosomal RNA is filed under the name uncultured archaeon. Its description in RNAcentral is "bacterial SSU rRNA". It matches the Rfam family "Archaeal small subunit ribosomal RNA", at positions 85 to 1058 of the family's 1478-position model. The record is from RNAcentral.